AGCAGCCGCGGUAAUUCCAGCUCCAAUAGCGUAUAUUAAAGUUGUUGCAGUUAAAAGCUCGUAGUUGAACUUCGGGGUUUACUCAUUGGUCAGGCUUAAUUGUCUGUACUGGUGAGAUGAAUCUCUACCUUCUGAGGAACUUUCAUGCCAUUUAUUUGGUGUGGUUGGAAAUCAGGACUGUUACUUUGAAAAAUUAGAGUGUUUAAAGCAGGCUAACGUCUGAAUACAUUAGCAUGGAAUAAUGAAAUAGGACGGAUUGAUUCUAUUUCGUUGGUUUCUGGGGUCACCGUAAUGAUUAAUAGGGAUAGUUGGGGGCAUUAGUAUUCAAUUGUCAGAGGUGAAAUUCUUGGAUUUAUUGAAGACUAACUACUGCGAAAGCAUUUGCCAAGGAUGUUUUCAUUAAUCAAGAACGAAAGUUAGGGAUACGAAGACGAUCAGAUACCGUCGUAGUCUUAACCAUA
This 461-nucleotide unclassified non-coding RNA is filed under the name uncultured Glomus. RNAcentral's name for it is "SSU rRNA". It matches the Rfam family "Eukaryotic small subunit ribosomal RNA", at positions 569 to 1034 of the family's 1831-position model. Lineage: Eukaryota; Fungi; Glomeromycota; Glomeromycetes; Glomerales; Glomeraceae. The record is from RNAcentral.